RNAcentral lists this long non-coding RNA (367 nucleotides) under Mytilus galloprovincialis (Mediterranean mussel). The record is from RNAcentral. Lineage: Eukaryota; Metazoa; Mollusca; Bivalvia; Mytilida; Mytilidae.
CUGGGAACAGUAUAACUAACGGGAAAUGAAUCUAUAACGCUUUUCAGUAUAAAAUUGAAAAAAUCUCGGACUCCCCGAGACUUCCCGAGAGUUAUGGAUUUUGGUAGCGUCUGACUGAAAAACUAUUGGAACUGCUCAAUAAAUAAACCACAUAAUUCUAUAAUCGUAAAUAAAUACAAGUUUUAUCAUUUAGAAGAUAUAUUUUGUCAUAUAAAAUUACUAAAAUAAGUUUGAUUUAUUUGAUGUGAAGUGUUUUAUAAUAGUUUAGGAAUUUGUAUAUCAUCGCGGCAAUGGCCGCCAUUUUUUUAUUACCUUGUUUGCAUUCUGCACAGUUCUGUGAUGAACUGCUUGCGAUUUUAACAAAUUU